RNAcentral lists this ribosomal RNA (492 nucleotides) under uncultured bacterium. RNAcentral describes it as "partial 16S ribosomal RNA". It matches the Rfam family "Bacterial small subunit ribosomal RNA", at positions 29 to 507 of the family's 1533-position model. The record is from RNAcentral.
AGUGAACGCUGGCGGUAGGCCUAACACAUGCAAGUCGAACGGCAGCACAGUAAGAGCUUGCUCUUACGGGUGGCGAGUGGCGGACGGGUGAGGAAUACAUCGGAAUCUACUUUUUCGUGGGGGAUAACGUAGGGAAACUUACGCUAAUACCGCAUACGACCUACGGGUGAAAGCAGGGGAUCUUCGGACCUUGCGCGAUUGAAUGAGCCGAUGUCGGAUUAGCUAGUUGGCGGGGUAAAGGCCCACCAAGGCGACGAUCCGUAGCUGGUCUGAGAGGAUGAUCGGCCACCCUGGAACUGGGACACGGUCCAGACUCCUACGGGAGGCAGCAGUGGGGAAUAUUGGACAAUGGGCGCAAGCCUGAUCCAGCCAUACCGCGUGGGUGAAGAAGGCCUUCGGGUUGUAAAGCCCUUUUGUUGGGAAAGAAAAGCAGCAGGUUAAUACCCCGCUGUUCUGACGGUACCCAAAGAAUAAGCACCGGUUAACUUCGUG